AUGCAUGUCUCAGUACAAGCCAAAUUAAGGUGAAACCGCGAAAGGCUCAUUAAAUCAGUUAUGGUUCCUUAGAUCGUACCCACAUUUACUUGGAUAACUGUGGUAAUUCUAGAGCUAAUACAUGCAAACAGAGCUCCGACCGGAGACGGAAGGAGCGCUUUUAUUAGAUCAAAACCAAUCGGUGGCGGGUUCGCUCGUCAUCGUACAUUUUGGUGACUCUGAAUAACUUUUUGCUGAUCGCACGGUCUAGCACCGGCGACGCAUCUUUCAAAUGUCUGCCUUAUCAACUGUCGAUGGUAGGUUCUGCGCCUACCAUGGUUGUAACGGGUAACGGGGAAUCAGGGUUCGAUUCCGGAGAGGGAGCCUGAGAAACGGCUACCACAUCCAAGGAAGGCAGCAGGCGCGCAAAUUACCCACUCCCGGCACGGGGAGGUAGUGACGAAAAAUAACGAUACGGGACUCAUCCGAGGCCCCGUAAUCGGAAUGAGUACACUCUAAACCCUUUAACGAGGAUCAAUUGGAGGGCAAGUCUGGUGCCAGCAGCCGCGGUAAUUCCAGCUCCAAUAGCGUAUAUUAAAGUUGUUGCGGUUAAAAAGCUCGUAGUCGAAUCUGUGUCCCGCGCCGUCGGUUCAUCGCUCGCGGUGUUUAACUGACGUGUCGUGGGACGUCCUGCCGGUGGGCUUAGCUCGUUCGCGGGCGGCCCAACUUGAAAUCCCACCGCGGUGCUCUUCAUUGAGUGUCGAGGUGGGCCGGCACGUUUACUUUGAACAAAUUAGAGUGCUUAAAGCAGGCUAAAAUUUCGCCUGAAUAUUCUGUGCAUGGAAUAAUGGAAUAGGACCUCGGUUCUAUUUUGUUGGUUUUCGGAACCCCGAGGUAAUGAUUAAUAGGAACGGAUGGGGGCAUUCGUAUUGCGACGUUAGAGGUGAAAUUCUUGGAUCGUCGCAAGACGGACAGAAGCGAAAGCAUUUGCCAAAAACGCUUUCAUUGAUCAAGAACGAAAGUUAGAGGUUCGAAGGCGAUCAGAUACCGCCCUAGUUCUAACCAUAAACGAUGCCAGCUAGCGAUCCGCCGACGUUCCUCCGAUGACUCGGCGGGCAGCUUCCGGGAAACCAAAGCUUUUGGGUUCCGGGGGAAGUAUGGUUGCAAAGCUGAAACUUAAAGGAAUUGACGGAAGGGCACCACCAGGAGUGGAGCCUGCGGCUUAAUUUGACUCAACACGGGAAACCUCACCAGGCCCGGACACCGGAAGGAUUGACAGAUUGAGAGCUCUUUCUUGAUUCGGUGGGUGGUGGUGCAUGGCCGUUCUUAGUUGGUGGAGCGAUUUGUCUGGUUAAUUCCGAUAACGAACGAGACUCUAGCCUGCUAACUAGGCGUAUUUUCGACAUCCUAAAGGCCCGCCGGCCCGGCGCUCGCGUCGCGGUCGUGCGCGGUUUUUACUGUCGGCGUACAAACAAUUCUUCUUAGAGGGACAGGCGGCUUCUAGCCGCACGAGAUUGAGCAAUAACAGGUCUGUGAUGCCCUUAGAUGUUCUGGGCCGCACGCGCGCUACACUGAAGGAAUCAGCGUGUCCUCCCUGGCCGAGAGGCCCGGGUAACCCGCUGAACCUCCUUCGUGCUAGGGAUUGGGGCUUGCAAUUGUUCCCCAUGAACGAGGAAUUCCCAGUAAGCGCGAGUCAUAAGCUCGCGUUGAUUACGUCCCUGCCCUUUGUACACACCGCCCGUCGCUACUACCGAUUGAAUGAUUUAGUGAGGUCUUCGGACCGG
Molecule: ribosomal RNA, 1763 nt
Filed under: Sternolophus marginicollis
Lineage: Eukaryota; Metazoa; Arthropoda; Insecta; Coleoptera; Hydrophilidae
Description: SSU rRNA
Rfam family: Eukaryotic small subunit ribosomal RNA
Source: RNAcentral